UUCUUCUAAAAUACAUGGUUAAUAGACACAUUAAGUCAAAUAAAUACAAGUAAGUUAACAAAUAAAGUUCGUGAUGAAAACCAUAGACUCAAAACAAUCAUAAAAUUUCAAUGUCAAUGACAUUUCCUUAAAAUUUCGCUUCGCGCGUUAUAUUUACAUUUGAGUUUUUUAUUUUACUUCACUUACCAUCAAGUUUAUUAUUAAUUAUUUUAGAAAUUAAUUUUGGUAAAAAGUUAUAAAAUGGCUCCAUGGACGAGUUCAGCAACUCCAGAACAAGUAGAUACACUCCUCAACUUUCUGAACAUCGCGACCCUGCCCGCAAACAUCUGCGAAGUGUAGAAGGCAAGCUCCAAGCGAAGCAACUCUGGGACGAGGUGUCCAACCUCCUAAAUGCCAUGGGCGUUUGCACAAAUACAAACAUGCAGGGGCAAAAAGUUUGGUUUAACCGAAAAAGUUGUUGCUGACUCCCAGUGGUUGGCUACAAUGACUGGAGGUGGGCCGGGAACAAGUUAAUUCUUUAAUUCUGAAGUAAUCUAGAUAUCUUAUAGCAGAAGAUAACGUUAUUUGGAGGAUUAUUAGCUAUAAGCUUUAACUUUAAAAUUAUUUGUCUCUCAAAUUAAUGCGUUUUAAUUUUGUACUACUGUCAGUAUUUGUAUGCUGUUAUUGUACUUACGCAUAUAAUGUUGAAUAUUGGAUUAUAUAAUAUAUAAAUAUAUCAGUGAAAUGUGUUUCUAUUGGACCACUUUUAUUUCUGUUUUUAUAAGACUUUAUUCUAUUAAAUGUUUUAACAUUUAAA
This is a long non-coding RNA of Spodoptera litura, 796 nucleotides long. RefSeq lists it as uncharacterized. Lineage: Eukaryota; Metazoa; Arthropoda; Insecta; Lepidoptera; Noctuidae. The record is from RefSeq and is a predicted model, not a curated record.